CCAAAGACCUUAUAAUAUAUUACUAGACCGAAAGCUGCGUGCGCGUUCAGCACAAAACAAAUGAGAUUAGGCUCCGCCUACCGCGAUCAUUUGAAGACAAAAAUAAGCCCUCAUUGACAUUCAUGAGCAUGAAGAUAUUCAUAAUCCGGCCUUUUCAUUGGCUAAGAGCGUCAUUAAUACGCGAUUUCCCCGAUUCUUUGUCAUCGAUACUAGUGGUAUCGUGUUACAGAAUUAAUUAUUCAUUUGACCUCAUUACGUCAUCUAAUUUAUUCAUUCUGAAACUUUUCUUUCCACACACAAAAUGGACCUACGAACACUCCGGUGAGUACGUAUUAAUUGAUAUAACCACAUGAAUUCAGUGGACUAUUUACACAUUUCACACUGUAUUUUGUGAUCUUAGGUUAUUUGUUUAUCAAAUUAGAGAGUUUGCUAUUAAUCUUCUGUUAAAGGAAAGCAGAAUUUGGUCUUUGAAAUUGAAGUUGGAUUGUCAUCGUCGCCCGGCCCCAGUGCAGCCUGUAAUUAAGGCUGUAUGUUGCUUGCAGUGUUGUGGUUAUGCCGUUAUGCCGCUGUGUUAACCACAUGUAUUUUGUACGGGCUCCUAGCCGGCUGGGAAUCGAGAGAUAAUCGGGCUGGUUUGGUUCACCUCCAACAAUAAGGACCAACCCACGAUUGAUUAAAACAAGAAGAAUGAGGCUUCUCUUUGUACACUGUAACGUUAGAUCUAGAGGGAGAUCUGCAUCUAUCUUCAGUAGAUCGAGACUCAGUCAGGAAUAAACUGUGAAGCGGAGUAUGGAUGAAGAUACGCCUGUCAUUGUGUCAAUCCUCACUUUGUUUCAGAUAUCAAAUUUAUUUUGCAUAACUUCAGGCUUCUGAAUUUAGCCCCCACCCAUUUUAACUCUUAUUGUUAUUUAUAAAUAUAGUUAGACUCGGUCUUAGAAAUAACAUGCUGCUCUGCAUGUUUGUCUUAUUAUCAAUAGAUCUAGGCCUAGGGCCUAGAUCUUCUUAAUCCUAGGCCCUACUUACUUUAUACUCAGAUCUAGGCUACUUUACUUUUAUUUAUUCAUCGAUGCUAUCAAGACAAGAGCUAGGCCUACCUAAUUCAAAUCUAGUCUAACUUAUACUUUCCCAACCCUCGACACUUACCCCCAGGGCUUAUGAUCUAGGUCUGUAAUUUAGGCCUAGAUCUAGGUCUGGGCCUAAACGACUCCAUUUACAUGUACGACUACGAGUAUGACUGUCAGUGGACCAAGGACUAGAUCUAGAUCUAUAAUGGCAAUGAAGUCUUAGCCAGGAAUAAAAGUCAGAGUCAGACAUCAAAAAUUUCUAAACCGAUAUAGGGUCUAGAUCUCGGUUUAGAACCGAAGCUUUACUUUCUAGGUCUAGAUAGAUCAAGAGUCCAUCGUUAGUCUAGAUCUAGACCUAAUUUAGAUAGGCAUACAUGAAUGCUGUCGCACAGCACUGAGUCUUGUUGGACUAGAUCUAGACUAAAUAGAUCUAGACCUAGUGCAUGAGAUUAUGAAAUUAUGUUAAAAUCAAAUGAAAUAAGAUUCGGAAAUACAAAGAUCCAGAUUUUUUUUUUUUUUUUUUUUUGGGGGGGGGCAGACAUGUGAAAAAAUUUAGAGAAACCUAAAAUUCAGAAAGCGAGGGCCCGAAGCGACCAAUAUUACCUCGGGCCGUUUUGUGCAUUUUCUAAAGUAAAAUUGAAGGAUGUCAUGCAAUUCUCUUUUUGAUGAAGGUUUCACAUUUCAGCUCUUACCCAAACCCCUCCCCCUAUACAUACGGCCAUGAAAAAGAUCACUUCUUAUUAUUGUUCUCUUUUCUUUCACAAACAGGUUGAGUUUGAAGAACAAGAAAAACAGUAGAGGUCUACCUAUAUGGUUCAAGAUGAUGAUCAUAAGUGCAUGCAUCAUUUUGCCGAUUCUCAUCCAGGAUGAUGCAGUUUUACAAUUUCCAUGGAGGUGAUUGAUGAUGAUAAAUAAUUGGUGAAGUAGGCCUAAUAGAACAGCGACUAGACCACAAAGAGAAAUACAACCUACAGCAGUUAUAUGAGACUGGUGUAACAGAUGUUUUCAUUCAAGAAAUCCAACAAUUCAAGAGUCUGACUUAGGAACCACUUGAUGAAGAUGGAAAAGUAUUUUUUUUCGAAGUCCAAUUUUUCAACAACAAACAAAUUAUUAUCACAACCCCAAAUUCAUGACGUAUGAAAUUUCUUGUUGAUUUUCAUUAAAACUGGUUGCAAAAGGAGAAGCUAUAAACAUACAAACAGGAGCGGCGGAGUGAAGUUGAAAGUGGGGGGGCAUAGGGAAAAUGCUGUAUUACGUGAAAUUUUUAAGAAGUUGCGAGCGAGCAAAGUUUUGACAUUUUUAAAAAGAAAAUCUAAAAUAUUCAGAAUGAUAUAUUUCACCCUUUUCUCUUUUUUUUUUGGGAGGGGGGACAAGAGUCCUCCAAGCCCCCCCCCCCCCCCCACCUCCAUCUGUACGAAACUGCUUAUAUUCUCCCACUCAUGAAUUAUUAAACUUAAUGCACAAAGGAUUUCCUUCAUAAGUAUAUUAUCGAAAUGAGAAUAUUGUUUUCUUGUUUCAAAGGGCAAUCGUCAUGGUGGCCAUAAAACAGGUCCUUCUCAAGUGAAAGGGGCACAGAACAAGUUCUUUAGGAGCACUUUUCUUGGGUAAAAGGGGGCAGUGAUUCGAGAAAGGGCACUUACAAGAAGGCGAGGGGGCACUCUUUAACACAUGAAACGGGCCCUCAGAUGAAAGGGCACAGAACACGUUCCAGGGGAGGGGGGGCAUUUUGGGGUUAAAAAAUUGCAUACAAGGAAGAGCACUUGGUAACACCUAAAACAGGUUCUCGCAGGUGAAAGGGACACAGUACACGUUCGUGAGGGGGCAUUAUUCUUGCAUAAAAAGGCACUUUUCAGUGCUUAAAGAAGUAGGGGGAACUGUGCCCCCCCCCCCCCCUCCCCAGGAUCGCUGCCCCAGCAUACAAAAAAAAUAUUCUUUUGGUUUAAAGUAUUAACAUACGGUUAAGAAAAAGGUAAAGCUUAAUCCUCUGAUAAUGUGAUAUUUUUUAUGGCUAAUUAAUAAAAUUCACCACUAACCAGAGAAUUCCUUUAUGUCUUUCAUUUGUGUUCAUAUAGUAUUUGUACAGAGCUAAAAUGAAAGGGAUUUGGAAUUUGCAAAAUUCAAAAUGAGAUGAAGAUCGAGAGAGGGAAAGAGUGAUGAGAAGUGGAUUGAAAAGAGAUGAGAAAGAAAUGGAGGGGCACAUAUGAAGAGAUAAUUUAGAGGGGGGUGGUAAGAGAGCUAGAAUGUGGGAAGUAGGAACAAAAGGGGUGGAAGAGAAAUAAGACGAGAUUUAUGGAAACCAGGAGACAGAUAACAAGUGGGAAAAGAAAAAGGAAAUAUAUGAAGAGUUUAGUUGCAAAAGGGGUUAGGGCCACUUUGGACCAUUCCGAGAAAAAACAUGUUUUUAUUUUCACUUAUUGCAAUAUUCUUAUGAGAAACUAAAUUGUCAUGAUGUACUACUCUAUCAUGUGAACAUAAAAUUGGGUAUAAAAGAAAUUUACCCGUCUUCAAUUUUUUUCUAUAUACUUUUUAAAAAAAAUCACUGUGUACCUAACCCCUUUUGCAAGUAAAUUGAAGUGAAUCCAAUCUCUUUUGAUUAAAAAAGUGAUUUUUUUUUUGCCACUUCCAUUCACGUUUUCAUUUGAAUUUCAAAUUUUCUUUGGUAUCAUCAGAGUGACUGAAAAUUUAGAGGUUUAGAGACA
Lytechinus pictus (painted urchin) is the source of this 3763-nucleotide long non-coding RNA. RefSeq lists it as uncharacterized. The transcript has 3 exons. Lineage: Eukaryota; Metazoa; Echinodermata; Echinoidea; Temnopleuroida; Toxopneustidae. The record is from RefSeq and is a predicted model, not a curated record.